RNAcentral lists this ribosomal RNA (390 nucleotides) under uncultured Methanosaeta sp. RNAcentral describes it as "bacterial SSU rRNA". It matches the Rfam family "Archaeal small subunit ribosomal RNA", at positions 950 to 1338 of the family's 1478-position model. Lineage: Archaea; Methanobacteriati; Methanobacteriota; Methanomicrobia; Methanotrichales; Methanotrichaceae. The record is from RNAcentral.
AAGGCCAGGCUGAAGACUUUGCCGGAUUAGCUGAGAGGUGGUGCAUGGCCGUCGUCAGUUCGUACUGUGAAGCAUCCUGUUAAGUCAGGCAACGAGCGAGACCCACGCCCACAGUUGCCAGCGUACUCUCUGGAGUGACGGGUACACUGUGGGGACCGCCGCUGCUAAAGCGGAGGAAGGAAUGGGCAACGGUAGGUCAGUAUGCCCCGAAUAUCCCGGGCUACACGCGAGCUACAAUGGUUGGUACAAUGGGUAUCUACCCCGAAAGGGGACGGGAAUCUCCUAAAACCAAUCUUAGUUCGGAUUGAGGGCUGCAACUCGCCCUCAUGAAGCUGGAAUCCGUAGUAAUCGCCGUUUCAACAGAACGCGGUGAAUACGUCCCUGCUCCUU